Molecule: ribosomal RNA, 472 nt
Filed under: uncultured bacterium
Lineage: Bacteria
Description: bacterial SSU rRNA
Rfam family: Bacterial small subunit ribosomal RNA
Source: RNAcentral
UGAGGAAUAUUGCGCAAUGGGCGCAAGCCUGAUCCAGCCAUGCCGCGUGCGGGAAGAAGGCCUUCGGGUUGUAAACCGCUUUUGUCAGGGAAGAAACGCUCUGGGCUAAUACCCUGGGGUAAUGACGGUACCUGAAGAAUAAGCACCGGCUAACUACGUGCCAGCAGCCGCGGUAAUACGUAGGGUGCAAGCGUUAAUCGGAAUUACUGGGCGUAAAGCGUGCGCAGGCGGUUAUGCAAGACAGAUGUGAAAUCCCCGGGCUCAACCUGGGAACUGCAUUUGUGACUGUAUAGCUAGAGUACGGUAGAGGGGGAUGGAAUUCCGCGUGUAGCAGUGAAAUGCGUAGAUAUGCGGAGGAACACCGAUGGCGAAGGCAAUCCCCUGGACCUGUACUGACGCUCAUGCACGAAAGCGUGGGGAGCAAACAGGAUUAGAUACCCUUGUAGUCCCUGAGCGGGCUGGCAAGGCGCAU